RNAcentral lists this ribosomal RNA (496 nucleotides) under uncultured bacterium. RNAcentral describes it as "partial 16S ribosomal RNA". It matches the Rfam family "Bacterial small subunit ribosomal RNA", at positions 29 to 507 of the family's 1533-position model. The record is from RNAcentral.
AUGAACGCUGGCGGCGUGCCUAAUACAUGCAAGUCGAGCGAACGGACGAGAAGCUUGCUUCUCUGAUGUUAGCGGCGGACGGGUGAGUAACACGUGGAUAACCUACCUAUAAGACUGGGAUAACUUCGGGAAACCGGAGCUAAUACCGGAUAAUAUUUUGAACCGCAUGGUUCAAAAGUGAAAGACGGUCCUGCUGUCACUUAUAGAUGGAUCCGCGCUGCAUUAGCUAGUUGGUAAGGUAACGGCUUACCAAGGCAACGAUGCAUAGCCGACCUGAGAGGGUGAUCGGCCACACUGGAACUGAGACACGGUCCAGACUCCUACGGGAGGCAGCAGUAGGGAAUCUUCCGCAAAGGGCGAAAGCCUGACGGAGCAACGCCGCGUGAGUGAUGAAGGUCUUCGGAUCGUAAAACUCUGUUAUUAGGGAAGAACAUAUGUGUAAGUAACUGUGCACAUCUUGACGGUACCUAAUCAGAAAGCCACGGCUAACUACGUG